Pelobates cultripes (western spadefoot toad) is the source of this 261-nucleotide non-coding RNA. NCBI's taxonomy places the organism in Eukaryota, Metazoa, Chordata, Amphibia, Anura, Pelobatidae. The record is from the annotation of a GenBank genome assembly.
CUCCGUGCUUGCGAGGAGUAAAUGGCGGGAUGCCACGUAAAAUAACUGGGCACCCGCCAUAUCUCCACUUUUCUUAAACAGGGUCAUUUAUUACAGUGAGCAUUAAGAGUGAAUUUUAAGGUCUAAAUAGACUAAAUGGAAAAAUUCUCUGUCAGCUAUGCUUCAAGUUCGUCUACUCUGGUCUUAAAUUUGAAAUUCACUUUGAAUUCUGACCUUAGUAACUAACCCUGCAAGAGUUAUAUUCUACCCCGUCCUUUCUCA